Molecule: long non-coding RNA, 1344 nt
Organism: Colossoma macropomum (tambaqui)
Lineage: Eukaryota; Metazoa; Chordata; Actinopteri; Characiformes; Serrasalmidae
Exons: 2
Source: RefSeq, a predicted model, not a curated record
UCAUUACAACUGACAGGAACGAGAAUAAAAAAUAAAAUUAAAACAAUAGAAUGGAUGGAAGAUAUACUGUAAUAUACUUUUGAAGGAGAUUCGUCCAGAGAGAGACAGAAUGGGAGAGAGCAAGAGAGAGAGAGGACCAUGCCUGUAAACUACUCACAGAAAGGGGUCAAAUGAGAGCCUCCCAGGAAAAGUCACCUGCCCGCUGUAGCCGUCUUCUAAACCUUGCAGCUGCAGCAGAGACAAGUGGACCUAAAAGAGAACAGAGAAUAUUCAAGCCCGAUUGACCAAGAGAGUCUUGUGUACUCUGCAUAUGGAGUGCCCUCUUCUGACGUGGUGGGACCAAGCAAACCAGAAUAUGAACACACACCUUCACCUCUUCCUGACAUUCAAGAAAUCAAGAAGAUGGAGAGCCCUAGUAAACAACUGAGUAAAGCCUACAACAAGGAUGAAUAUGUCUAGGAUAUUCCCAUCACUGUAUGCUUUUCAGUCCUUAUUUUCUGACUUGAACUGUGGACACUCAUGUCUGUAUCUUUAAAGAAAAAAUGCCUUUUCGUGUGUGAGUUAUGAUGGUCAGCUGGAAACUCCCUAGCUAAUGACAAAGCUACUGGCACACUGCAUUUAUUAAAGACAGCUAGCUAGGUAGAUGGUUUGGAUAAGAAUUACAAUAAAGUUGAAGAUCAAACUAACUAAUAUCUCAAAAGCCUGUGAGCGCUUUUCAUCACUCUCUUAUAAUAACAAAAAUAUUCCUGAAAUUCUGCAUUACUGCAUCAGUGUGAAGAGGGAGAGAAACACUGAUAUUUGGCUACUUUGGAACUUCUGUAAUGUCAGAUUUUGCUUCUCAGUCUCAAAAAACCAUUUAUUGGUGACUUAACUGAGGGAGUGAUAUUUAGAUUCAUUAAAAUCUGUGAAUUUCUUAACUAGUAUCAAAAAUGUAAUAUAUUUAAUGGUUAUGCAUUUAACACUGACACCACAUAUGUAUGUUUGUUGAAAAUAACACAUUUUAUUAGCAAAAUUAAGCUCAGUUACGACAAAAUGAAACACAAUUGAAAACAAAACAUGUAUUUUGAAAUUUACCAAGAAAACUACCAUGUGUGCAAAUGUGCAAACUGUUAUUUUCCAAAUCAGGUUCACAGAUUUAUUCCUAAAAUCAUAAAAAAAAAAAAACAAUUUUACACACUGCAUACAUACAUACAUACAUACAUGGCCCUGCAUGAAUCACUUUGUGCAAAUCAACUUUUCCCUUUAAAUCUUAAAAAACACCAAGAUACAAAUAAAAAAACAAAACAAAAAAAUAGCUCUCCAAGAAAUUGCAUAACAUUUGUGAUCUUUGAAUUCAUAUGUUUA